AUUCUAGAGCUAAUACAUGCUGUAAAGCCCGACUUUUCGGAAGGGCCGUAUUUAUUAGAUAACAGACCAAUAUUCCUCGUGUCUAUUGUGGUGAAUCAUAGUAACUAAUCGGAUCGCAUGGGCUAGUCCCGCGACAAACCAUUCAAGUUUCUGCCCCAUCAGCUUUCGAUGGUAGUGUAUUGGACUACCAUGGCUUUUACGGGUAACGGAGGAUUAGGGUUCGAUUCCGGAGAGGGAGCCUGAGAAACGGCUACCACAUCUAAGGAAGGCAGCAGGCGCGUAAAUUACCCAAUUCUAAUUCAGAGAGGUAGUG
This 313-nucleotide ribosomal RNA is filed under the name uncultured Spirotrichea. RNAcentral describes it as "SSU rRNA". It matches the Rfam family "Eukaryotic small subunit ribosomal RNA", at positions 155 to 469 of the family's 1831-position model. The record is from RNAcentral. Lineage: Eukaryota; Ciliophora; Spirotrichea.